GGACCCGCACAAGCGGUGGAGUAUGUGGUUUAAUUCGAUGCAACACGAAGAACCUUACCAGGGUUUGAAAUCAUUUCAAAACUCCUUGAAAGAGGAGCCUCCUUCGGGAUGAAAUGACAGGUGGUGCAUGGCUGUCGUCAGCUCGUGUUGUGAAAUGUCGAGUUAAGUCUCGUAACGAGCGUAACCCAUGUCUCUUGUUGCUCACUGAGUGCUUAAGAGAGACUGCCGACCAACAUCGGAGGAAGGUGUGGAUGAUGUCAAGUCAGCAUGCCCCUUACAUCCUGGGCUACACACGUACUACAAUGGUAAGGACAAUGAGCUGCGAUCCUGCGAAGGCUAGCCAAUCUCAAAAACCUUAUCUCAGUUCGGAUUGCACUCUGCAACUCGAGUGCAUGAAGGUGGAAUCGCUAGUAA
This 414-nucleotide ribosomal RNA is filed under the name uncultured bacterium. RNAcentral's name for it is "bacterial SSU rRNA". It matches the Rfam family "Bacterial small subunit ribosomal RNA", at positions 917 to 1341 of the family's 1533-position model. The record is from RNAcentral.